RNAcentral lists this unclassified non-coding RNA (342 nucleotides) under soil metagenome. RNAcentral describes it as "partial contains 5.8S ribosomal RNA, internal transcribed spacer 2, and large subunit ribosomal RNA". The stretch from base 1 to 120 matches the Rfam family "5.8S ribosomal RNA", at positions 35 to 154 of the family's 154-position model. The record is from RNAcentral.
GAUGAAGAACGUAGCGAAAUGCGAUAAGUAAUGUGAAUUGCAGAAUUCAGUGAAUCAUCGAAUCUUUGAACGCACAUUGCGCCCGCCAGCACCCUGGCGGGCAUGCCUGUUCGAGCGUCAUUUCAACCAUCAAGCCCCCAGGGGCUUGUGCUGGGGCCCUGCGGCUGCCCGCAGGCCCUGAAAACCAGUGGCGGGCUCGCUAGUCACACCGAGCGCAGUAGCACAUCUCGCUCAGGGCGUGCGGCGGGCUCCUGCCGUGAAACCCCCCACUGUAACCCCAAAGGUUGACCUCGGAUCAGGUAGGAAUACCCGCUGAACUUAAGCAUAUCAAUAAGCGGAGGA